CCUACGGGAGGCAGCAGUGAGGAAUAUUGGUCAAUGGCCGAGAGGCUGAACCAGCCAAGUCGCGUGAGGGAAGACGGCCCUAUGGGUUGUAAACCUCUUUUGUCAAGGAGUAAAACGAGUCACGUGUGCCUUUUUGCCAGUACCUGAAGAAUAAGCAUCGGCUAACUCCGUGCCAGCAGCCGCGGUAAUACGGAGGAUUCGAGCGUUAUCCGGAUUUAUUGGGUUUAAAGGGUGCGUAGAUGGGUGGUGAAGUCAGUUGUGAAAGUUGGGGGCUCAACCCCAGUAUUGCAGUUGAUACUGGAAGUCUUGAGUACAGGUGAGGUAAGCGGAAUGCGUGGUGUAGCGGUGAAAUGCAUAGAUAUCACGAAGAACCCCGAUUGCGAAGGCAGCAUAC
This 394-nucleotide ribosomal RNA is filed under the name uncultured bacterium. Its description in RNAcentral is "partial 16S ribosomal RNA". It matches the Rfam family "Bacterial small subunit ribosomal RNA", at positions 338 to 729 of the family's 1533-position model. The record is from RNAcentral.